ACGAGAAAAGGGGGUAAGAAACUGGACUAUUUGUCUUAAAGAAUUUGACAUUCUGGAUCUUGUGGUUGCUGGCAGCAUCUUUCUGAAAUGUCAAUGUCAC
Molecule: long non-coding RNA, 100 nt
Organism: Neogale vison (American mink)
Lineage: Eukaryota; Metazoa; Chordata; Mammalia; Carnivora; Mustelidae
Exons: 3
Source: RefSeq, a predicted model, not a curated record